GACGCUGGCGGCAGGCUUAACACAUGCAAGUCGAGCGGAGAGAGGUAGCUUGCUACUGAUCUUAGCGGCGGACGGGUGAGUAAUGCUUAGGAAUCUGCCUAUUAGUGGGGGACAACAUCUCGAAAGGGAUGCUAAUACCGCAUACGUCCUACGGGAGAAAGCAGGGGAUCUUCGGACCUUGCGCUAAUAGAUGAGCCUAAGUCGGAUUAGCUAGUUGGUGGGGUAAAGGCCUACCAAGGCGACGAUCUGUAGCGGGUCUGAGAGGAUGAUCCGCCACACUGGGACUGAGACACGGCCCAGACUCCUACGGGAGGCAGCAGUGGGGAAUAUUGGACAAUGGGGGGAACCCUGAUCCAGCCAUGCCGCGUGUGUGAAGAAGGCCUUAUGGUUGUAAAGCACUUUAAGCGAGGAGGAGGCUACUUUAGUUAAUACCUAGAGAUAGUGGACGUUACUCGCAGAAUAAGCACCGGCUAACUCUGUGCCAGCAGCCGCGGUAAUACAGAGGGUGCAAGCGUUAAUCGGAUUUACUGGGCGUAAAGCGCGCGUAGGCGGCUAAUUAAGUCAAAUGUGAAAUCCCCGAGCUUAACUUGGGAAUUGCAUUCGAUACUGGUUAGCUAGAGUGUGGGAGAGGAUGGUAGAAUUCCAGGUGUAGCGGUGAAAUGCGUAGAGAUCUGGAGGAAUACCGAUGGCGAAGGCAGCCAUCUGGCCUAACACUGACGCUGAGGUGCGAAAGCAUGGGGAGCAACAGGAUUAGAUACCCUGGUAGUCCAUGCCGUAAACGAUGUCUACUAGCCGUUGGGGCCUUUGAGGCUUUAGUGGCGCAGCUAACGCGAUAAGUAGACCGCCUGGGGAGUACGGUCGCAAGACUAAAACUCAAAUGAAUUGACGGGGGCCCGCACAAGCGGUGGAGCAUGUGGUUUAAUUCGAUGCAACGCGAAGAACCUUACCUGGGCCUUGACAUAGUAAGAACUUUCCAGAGAUG
RNAcentral lists this ribosomal RNA (982 nucleotides) under Acinetobacter sp. M.pstv.35.2. RNAcentral describes it as "bacterial SSU rRNA". It matches the Rfam family "Bacterial small subunit ribosomal RNA", at positions 32 to 1008 of the family's 1533-position model. The record is from RNAcentral. Lineage: Bacteria; Pseudomonadati; Pseudomonadota; Gammaproteobacteria; Moraxellales; Moraxellaceae.